CUCAUGUUACCAGAAAGAGGUCCUGAUCCAGACCCCAAAAGAGGGUUAUUGGAUCUUGCACAAAAAAGAAUUUGAGGCGAAUCCAUAAAGUGAAAGCAAGUUUACUAGGAAAGUAAUGGCUUUUUACUAGGAAAGUAAUACAGGAAUGGCUACUCCAUAGUCAGAGCUGCCCCACAGGUUGCUGGUUGCCCACUUUUCCGGUUAUUUCUUGAUGAUAUGCUAAACAAGAAGUGGAUUAUUCAUGCCUCCCCUUUUUAGACCAUAUAGGGUAAAGUGUGAUGGCACUGAUGGGAGUGUAGCAGUGAGGACAACCUGAGGUCACUCUCAUCGUCAUCUUGGUUUUGGUUUGGUGGGUUUUAGUCGGCUUCUUUACUGCAACCUGUUUUUACCAGCAAGGCCUUUAUGACCUGUAUCUUGUGCCCACCUCUUAUCUGAUCCUGUGACUUAGAAUUCCUAACUGUCUGGGAAUGCAGCCCAGUAGGCCUCAGCCUUAUUUUACCUAGCCCCCCCAUUUAAGACGAAGUUGCUCUGAGUUGAAUAAAAAGCAUUCAAAAAUAACCAAAUAAAAAACUUUAUGUGGAUAGAGAAUCAGAAAGACUGUGGUGACAGUUCUGAGUCAAACCUUCACGAUUUCCCCUCCUUCCUGUAAUGAAAUUAGACUCAGGAGAAGUUCCAGGAUUUAACAAACCCAGGAAUAAUAGUCUACAUUUCAACACUGAAAAGUUUUCUUACUCUGU
This 737-nucleotide long non-coding RNA is filed under the name Homo sapiens (human). Its description in RNAcentral is "HSALNT0191988". Lineage: Eukaryota; Metazoa; Chordata; Mammalia; Primates; Hominidae. The record is from RNAcentral.